RNAcentral lists this ribosomal RNA (460 nucleotides) under uncultured bacterium. RNAcentral's name for it is "partial 16S ribosomal RNA". It matches the Rfam family "Bacterial small subunit ribosomal RNA", at positions 338 to 795 of the family's 1533-position model. The record is from RNAcentral.
CCUACGGGAGGCAGCAGUGAGGAAUAUUGGUCAAUGGACGAAAGUCUGAACCAGCCAAGUAGCGUGAAGGAUGACUGCCCUAUGGGUUGUAAACUUCUUUUAUAAAGGAAUAAAACGAGGCACGUGUGCCUUUGUGCAUGUACUUUAUGAAUAAGGAUCGGCUAACUCCGUGCCAGCAGCCGCGGUAAUACGGAGGAUCCGAGCGUUAUCCGGAUUUCUUGGGUUUAAAGGGAGCGUAGAUGGGUUGUUAAGUCAGUGGUGAAAGUUUGCGGCUCAACCGUAAAAUUGCAAUUGAUACUGGCAGUCUUGAGUACAGUUGAGGUAGGCGGAAUUCGUGGUGUAGCGGUGAAAUGCUUAGAUAUCACGAAGAACCCCGAUUGCGAAGGCAGCUUACUAAACUGUGACUGACAUUGAUGCUCGAAAGUGUGGGUAUCAAACAGGAUUAGAUACCCUUGUAGUC